GAGCCGUAUGAAGGGAAACUUUCACGUACGGUUCUGAAGACGAGUACGGACCGCGAGGCCCGUACUUAGUUCAAC
This 75-nucleotide non-coding RNA is filed under the name Gimesia chilikensis. Lineage: Bacteria; Pseudomonadati; Planctomycetota; Planctomycetia; Planctomycetales; Planctomycetaceae. The record is from RNAcentral.